UAUUGGGCGUAAAGCGAGCGCAGCCGGUUUAAUAAGUCUUAAGUUAAAGGCAGCGGCGUAACCACCGUUCGCUGUGGAAACUGUUAAACUUGAGUGCAGAAGGGGAGAAUGGAAUUCCAUCGUGUAGCGGUGAAAUGCGUAGAUAUAUGGAGGAACACCGGUGGCGAAAGCGGCUCUCUGGUCUGUAACUGACGCUGAGGCUCGAAAGCGUGGGGAGCACACACAAAAAGAUACCCUCUUAGUCCCCUCCGUAAACGAAGAGUGCUGGGUGUUAGCCCCUUUCCGGGGCUUAGUGCCGCAGCUAACGCAUAAAGCACUCCGCUUGGGGAGUACGCCCGCAAGGUUGAAACUCAAAGAAAUUGACGGGGGCCCGCACAAGCGGGGGAGCAUGUGGUUUAAUUCGAAGCAACGCGAAGACCCUUACCAGGUCUUGACAUCCCGAUGCUAUUUCUAGAGAUAGAAAGUUUUUUCGGAACAUCGGUGACAGGUGGUGCAUGGUUGUCGUCAGCUCGUGUCGUGAGAUGUUGGGUUAAGUCCCGCAACGAGCGCAACCCCUAUUGUUAGUUGCCAUCAUUUAGUUGGGCACUCUAGCGAGACUGCCGGUAAUAAACCGGAGGAAGGUGGGGAUGACGUCAAAUCAUCAUGCCCCUUAUGACCUGGGCUACACACGUGCUACAAUGGUUGGUACAACGAGUCGCAAGUCGGUGACGGCAAGCAAAUCUCUUAAAGCCAAUCUCAGUUCGGAUUGUAGGCUGCAACUCGCCUACAUGAAGUCGGAAUCGCUAGUAAUCGCGGAUCAGCACGCCGCGGUGAAUACGUUGCCGGGCCUUGCACACACCGCCCGUCAA
This 848-nucleotide ribosomal RNA is filed under the name uncultured bacterium. RNAcentral's name for it is "bacterial SSU rRNA". It matches the Rfam family "Bacterial small subunit ribosomal RNA", at positions 552 to 1400 of the family's 1533-position model. The record is from RNAcentral.